GGUGACCCUGUCCCCAAAAUGUCCCCACAGUGUCCCCAGCAUGGAGUGGGAGCAGCUGGGGAGGUGACGCGGGGGGGUGGCCCCAAAUGUCCCCAAAGUGUCCCCAAUGGGGUGACCCCAUCCCCAGAAUGUUCCCAGUUAGGGUGGUCCUGUCCCUGUGUCCCCAAAAUGUCCCUAAUUGGGGUGACCCCAUCCCCAAAGUGUCUCCAAAUGUCCCCAAGUGGGGUGACCCCAUCCUCAAAAUGUCCCCAAAGUGCCCCCAGCCUGGAGUGGGAGCAGCUGGGGAGGUGAUGCGGGGGGGGGUGGCCCCAAAUGGCCCCAAAUGGCCCCAAAUGUCCCUGUGUGGGGUUACACCAUCCCUGUGUCCCCAAAAUGUCCCCCAUUGGGGUGACCCCAUCCCCAAAAUGUCCCCAAAGUGUCCCCAGCGUGGAGUGGGAGCAGCUGGGGAGGUGACAGCAGGGGGGUGGCCCCAAAUGUCCCCCAAAUGUCCCCAAAGUGUCCCCAAAUGUCCCCCAUUGGGGUGACCCCAUCCCCACAAUGUCCCCAAGAUGUCCCCAGUUAGGGUGACCCCAUCCCCAUGAUCCCCAUCAGGACAAGGACAUCAGGACGGGGACACGGGGACAGGGGGACAAGGACAUUGGUAAUGGGGACACUGGGAUGAGGACACGGGGACAAGGACAUCAGGGUGGGGACAGCGGGAUGGGGACACGGGGGCAUCAGAACAAGGACAUCGGGGUGGGGACAUUGGGACAGGGACAGUGGGACGGGAACACGGGGACAAGGACAUCGGGAUGGGGACAGCAGGGUGACGUUGGGAUGGGGACAUGGGGACAAGGACAUCAGGACGAGGACAUUGGGGUGGGGACAGUGGGAUGGGGACAACCCCAAUGGGGACAUCGAGGACAGGGACAUUGGGGGGGGGCACAAGGAUGGGGGGGACAAGGACAAAGAGGGGGGGACACGGGGAUGGGGUGGGGACAUCGGCGGGGGACCCACUGUGACCAGACCCCCCCUGUCCCCCCCCCCCAUCCGGACAAGGACAUCAGGACAAGGACAUCGGGAUGGGGACACUGGGAUGGGGACACUGGGGUGGGGACACGGGACAAGGGCAUCAGGAGGAGGACAUUGGGAUGGGCAUUGGGAAUGGGGGGACUGGGAUGGGGACAGGGGGACAAGGACAUCAGGGUGGGGACAGCGGGAUGGGGACACGGGGGCAUCAGAACAAGGACAUCGGGGUGGGGACAUUGGGACAGGGACAGUGGGACGGGAACAUGGGGACAAGGACAUCGGGAUGGGGACAGCAGGGUGACGUGGGGACGGGGACGGGGGACCCACUGUGACCAGACCCCCCCUGUCCCCCCCCAAAACUAAACUUUUUUGAGGCCGCGUUGCCAAUCCCGCUGUUUAUUGAACCAAACCCCAACAUUUUGGGCUCAGAACAGCAAAAAACAGGCAAAACCAGAAACGACGCCUUCCGGCUGUGGCUCCAUGCUCAGUCCUGGGGGAGAGAAACC
RNAcentral lists this long non-coding RNA (1514 nucleotides) under Anas platyrhynchos platyrhynchos (common mallard). RNAcentral describes it as "lncRNA (ENSAPLG00000028216.1)". Lineage: Eukaryota; Metazoa; Chordata; Aves; Anseriformes; Anatidae. The record is from RNAcentral.